Molecule: ribosomal RNA, 1059 nt
Filed under: uncultured Cryobacterium sp.
Lineage: Bacteria; Bacillati; Actinomycetota; Actinomycetes; Micrococcales; Microbacteriaceae
Description: bacterial SSU rRNA
Rfam family: Bacterial small subunit ribosomal RNA
Source: RNAcentral
UCCUACGGGAGGCAGCAGUGGGGAAUAUUGCACAAUGGGCGCAAGCCUGAUGCAGCAACGCCGCGUGAGGGACGAAGGCCUUCGGGUUGUAAACCUCUUUUAGUAGGGAAGAAGCAACUGGGUUUUCCUGGGAGUGACGGUACUUGCAGAAAAAGCACCGGCUAACUACGUGCCAGCAGCCGCGGUAAUACGUAGGGUGCAAGCGUUGUCCGGAAUUAUUGGGCGUAAAGAGCUCGUAGGGGGUUUGUCGCGUCUGCUGUGAAAACCCGAGGCUCAACCUCGGGCCUGCAGUGGGUACGGGCAGACUAGAGCGCGGUAGGGGAGAUUGGAAUUCCUGGUGUAGCGGUGGAAUGCGCAGAUAUCAGGAGGAACACCAAUGGCGAAGGCAGAUCUCUGGGCCGUAACUGACGCUGAGGAGCGAAAGCAUGGGGAGCGAACAGGAUUAGAUACCCUGGUAGUCCAUGCCGUAAACGUUGGGAACUAGAUGUGGGGACCAUUCCACGGUCUCCGUGUCGCAGCUAACGCAUUAAGUUCCCCGCCUGGGGAGUACGGCCGCAAGGCUAAAACUCAAAGGAAUUGACGGGGGCCCGCACAAGCGGCGGAGCAUGCGGAUUAAUUCGAUGCAACGCGAAGAACCUUACCAAGGCUUGACAUAUACCGGAAACGGCUGGAAACAGUCGCCCCGCAAGGUCGGUAUACAGGUGGUGCAUGGUUGUCGUCAGCUCGUGUCGUGAGAUGUUGGGUUAAGUCCCGCAACGAGCGCAACCCUCGUCCUAUGUUGCCAGCACGUAAUGGUGGGAACUCAUGGGAUACUGCCGGGGUCAACUCGGAGGAAGGUGGGGAUGACGUCAAAUCAUCAUGCCCCUUAUGUCUUGGGCUUCACGCAUGCUACAAUGGCCGGUACAAAGGGCUGCGAUACCGCAAGGUGGAGCGAAUCCCAAAAAGCCGGUCUCAGUUCGGAUUGAGGUCUGCAACUCGACCUCAUGAAGUCGGAGUCGCUAGUAAUCGCAGAUCAGCAACGCUGCGAUGAAUACGUUCCCGGGCCUUGUACACACCGCC